RNAcentral lists this ribosomal RNA (332 nucleotides) under Paucilactobacillus vaccinostercus. Its description in RNAcentral is "bacterial SSU rRNA". It matches the Rfam family "Bacterial small subunit ribosomal RNA", at positions 513 to 843 of the family's 1533-position model. Lineage: Bacteria; Bacillati; Bacillota; Bacilli; Lactobacillales; Lactobacillaceae. The record is from RNAcentral.
AGCCGCGGUAAUACGUAGGUGGCAAGCGUUAUCCGGAUUUAUUGGGCGUAAAGCGAGCGCAGGCGGUUUUUUAAGUCUGAUGUGAAAGCCCUCGGCUUAACCGAAGAAGUGCAUCGGAAACUGGGAAACUUGAGUGCAGAAGAGGACAGUGGAACUCCAUGUGUAGCGGUGAAAUGCGUAGAUAUAUGGAAGAACACCAGUGGCGAAGGCGGCUGUCUGGUCUGUAACUGACGCUGAGGCUCGAAAGCAUGGGUAGCGAACAGGAUUAGAUACCCUGGUAGUCCAUACCGUAAACGAUGAAUGCUAAGUGUUGGAGGGUUUCCGCCCUUCAG